AUUGAACGCUGGCGGCAUGCCUAACACAUGCAAGUCGCGCGGGCGGUAGCAAUACCGUUAGCGGCGGACGGGUGAGGAACACAUAGGAAUUUGCCUUUAGGUGGGGGAUAGCCCAGGGAAACUUGGAGUAAUACCGCAUGAUGUCGCAAGACCAAAGCAGGGGAUCGCAAGACCUUGCGCCUUUAGAGGAGCCUAUGUCUGAUUAGCUAGUUGGUAGGGUAAUGGCCUACCAAGGCGACGAUCAGUAACUGGUCUGAGAGGACGAUCAGUCACACUGGAACUGAGACACGGUCCAGACUCCUACGGGAGGCAGCAGUGGGGAAUAUUGGACAAUGGGCGCAAGCCUGAUCCAGCAAUGCCGCGUGUGUGAAGAAGGCCUUCGGGUUGUAAAGCACUUUAGGCCGGGAAGAAAAAAUCAGGGCUAAUAUCCUUGAUCUUGACGGUACCGGAAGAAUAAGCACCGGCUAACUCUGUGCCAGCAGCCGCGGUAAUACAGAGGGUGCGAGCGUUAAUCGGAUUUACUGGGCGUAAAGCGUGUGUAGGUGGUUGUUCAAGUCGGUUGUGAAAUCCCUGGGCUUAACCUGGGAACUGCUUCCGAGACUGAGCGACUAGAGUACGGUAGAGGGCGGUGGAAUUUCCGGUGUAGCGGUGAAAUGCGUAGAUAUCGGAAGGAACACCAAUGGCGAAGGCAGCCGCCUGGGCCUGUACUGACACUGAGACACGA
Molecule: ribosomal RNA, 724 nt
Filed under: uncultured Pseudomonadota bacterium
Lineage: Bacteria; Pseudomonadati; Pseudomonadota
Description: bacterial SSU rRNA
Rfam family: Bacterial small subunit ribosomal RNA
Source: RNAcentral